RNAcentral lists this ribosomal RNA (2372 nucleotides) under Escherichia coli. Its description in RNAcentral is "bacterial LSU rRNA". It matches the Rfam family "Bacterial large subunit ribosomal RNA", at positions 591 to 2925 of the family's 2925-position model. The record is from RNAcentral. Lineage: Bacteria; Pseudomonadati; Pseudomonadota; Gammaproteobacteria; Enterobacterales; Enterobacteriaceae.
GUGUGACUGCGUACCUUUUGUAUAAUGGGUCAGCGACUUAUAUUCUGUAGCAAGGUUAACCGAAUAGGGGAGCCGAAGGGAAACCGAGUCUUAACUGGGCGUUAAGUUGCAGGGUAUAGACCCGAAACCCGGUGAUCUAGCCAUGGGCAGGUUGAAGGUUGGGUAACACUAACUGGAGGACCGAACCGACUAAUGUUGAAAAAUUAGCGGAUGACUUGUGGCUGGGGGUGAAAGGCCAAUCAAACCGGGAGAUAGCUGGUUCUCCCCGAAAGCUAUUUAGGUAGCGCCUCGUGAAUUCAUCUCCGGGGGUAGAGCACUGUUUCGGCAAGGGGGUCAUCCCGACUUACCAACCCGAUGCAAACUGCGAAUACCGGAGAAUGUUAUCACGGGAGACACACGGCGGGUGCUAACGUCCGUCGUGAAGAGGGAAACAACCCAGACCGCCAGCUAAGGUCCCAAAGUCAUGGUUAAGUGGGAAACGAUGUGGGAAGGCCCAGACAGCCAGGAUGUUGGCUUAGAAGCAGCCAUCAUUUAAAGAAAGCGUAAUAGCUCACUGGUCGAGUCGGCCUGCGCGGAAGAUGUAACGGGGCUAAACCAUGCACCGAAGCUGCGGCAGCGACGCUUAUGCGUUGUUGGGUAGGGGAGCGUUCUGUAAGCCUGCGAAGGUGUGCUGUGAGGCAUGCUGGAGGUAUCAGAAGUGCGAAUGCUGACAUAAGUAACGAUAAAGCGGGUGAAAAGCCCGCUCGCCGGAAGACCAAGGGUUCCUGUCCAACGUUAAUCGGGGCAGGGUGAGUCGACCCCUAAGGCGAGGCCGAAAGGCGUAGUCGAUGGGAAACAGGUUAAUAUUCCUGUACUUGGUGUUACUGCGAAGGGGGGACGGAGAAGGCUAUGUUGGCCGGGCGACGGUUGUCCCGGUUUAAGCGUGUAGGCUGGUUUUCCAGGCAAAUCCGGAAAAUCAAGGCUGAGGCGUGAUGACGAGGCACUACGGUGCUGAAGCAACAAAUGCCCUGCUUCCAGGAAAAGCCUCUAAGCAUCAGGUAACAUCAAAUCGUACCCCAAACCGACACAGGUGGUCAGGUAGAGAAUACCAAGGCGCUUGAGAGAACUCGGGUGAAGGAACUAGGCAAAAUGGUGCCGUAACUUCGGGAGAAGGCACGCUGAUAUGUAGGUGAAGUCCCUCGCGGAUGGAGCUGAAAUCAGUCGAAGAUACCAGCUGGCUGCAACUGUUUAUUAAAAACACAGCACUGUGCAAACACGAAAGUGGACGUAUACGGUGUGACGCCUGCCCGGUGCCGGAAGGUUAAUUGAUGGGGUUAGCGCAAGCGAAGCUCUUGAUCGAAGCCCCGGUAAACGGCGGCCGUAACUAUAACGGUCCUAAGGUAGCGAAAUUCCUUGUCGGGUAAGUUCCGACCUGCACGAAUGGCGUAAUGAUGGCCAGGCUGUCUCCACCCGAGACUCAGUGAAAUUGAACUCGCUGUGAAGAUGCAGUGUACCCGCGGCAAGACGGAAAGACCCCGUGAACCUUUACUAUAGCUUGACACUGAACAUUGAGCCUUGAUGUGUAGGAUAGGUGGGAGGCUUUGAAGUGUGGACGCCAGUCUGCAUGGAGCCGACCUUGAAAUACCACCCUUUAAUGUUUGAUGUUCUAACGUGGACCCGUAAUCCGGGUUGCGGACAGUGUCUGGUGGGUAGUUUGACUGGGGCGGUCUCCUCCUAAAGAGUAACGGAGGAGCACGAAGGUUGGCUAAUCCUGGUCGGACAUCAGGAGGUUAGUGCAAUGGCAUAAGCCAGCUUGACUGCGAGCGUGACGGCGCGAGCAGGUGCGAAAGCAGGUCAUAGUGAUCCGGUGGUUCUGAAUGGAAGGGCCAUCGCUCAACGGAUAAAAGGUACUCCGGGGAUAACAGGCUGAUACCGCCCAAGAGUUCAUAUCGACGGCGGUGUUUGGCACCUCGAUGUCGGCUCAUCACAUCCUGGGGCUGAAGUAGGUCCCAAGGGUAUGGCUGUUCGCCAUUUAAAGUGGUACGCGAGCUGGGUUUAGAACGUCGUGAGACAGUUCGGUCCCUAUCUGCCGUGGGCGCUGGAGAANNNNNNNNNNNNNNNNNNNUGAGGGGGGCUGCUCCUAGUACGAGAGGACCGGAGUGGACGCAUCACUGGUGUUCGGGUUGUCAUGCCAAUGGCACUGCCCGGUAGCUAAAUGCGGAAGAGAUAAGUGCUGAAAGCAUCUAAGCACGAAACUUGCCCCGAGAUGAGUUCUCCCUGACUCCUUGAGAGUCCUGAAGGAACGUUGAAGACGACGACGUUGAUAGGCCGGGUGUGUAAGCGCAGCGAUGCGUUGAGCUAACCGGUACUAAUGAACCGUGAGGCUUAACCUU